AAUCCAUAGGUUAAUGAGGCGAACCGGGGGAACUGAAACAUCUAAGUACCCCGAGGAAAAGAAAUCAACCGAGAUUCCCCCAGUAGCGGCGAGCGAACGGGGAGGAGCCCAGAGCCUGAAUCAGCAUGUGUGUUAGUGGAAGCGUCUGGAAAGGCGCGCGAUACAGGGUGACAGCCCCGUACACAAAAGCGCAUGUGCUGUGAGCUCGAUGAGUAGGGCGGGACACGUGGUAUCCUGUCUGAAUAUGGGGGGACCAUCCUCCAAGGCUAAAUACUCCUGACUGACCGAUAGUGAACCAGUACCGUGAGGGAAAGGCGAAAAGAACCCCGGCGAGGGGAGUGAAAAAGAACCUGAAACCGUGUACGUACAAGCAGUGGGAGCACCCUUUGGGUGUGACUGCGUACCUUUUGUAUAAUGGGUCAGCGACUUAUAUUCUGUAGCAAGGUUAACCGAAUAGGGGAGCCGGAGGGAAACCGAGUCUUA
RNAcentral lists this ribosomal RNA (483 nucleotides) under Salmonella enterica subsp. enterica serovar Enteritidis. Its description in RNAcentral is "partial 23S ribosomal RNA". It matches the Rfam family "Bacterial large subunit ribosomal RNA", at positions 161 to 686 of the family's 2925-position model. The record is from RNAcentral. Lineage: Bacteria; Pseudomonadati; Pseudomonadota; Gammaproteobacteria; Enterobacterales; Enterobacteriaceae.